Long non-coding RNA from Daphnia pulex (common water flea), 1018 nucleotides. RefSeq lists it as uncharacterized. The transcript is spliced from 5 exons. Lineage: Eukaryota; Metazoa; Arthropoda; Branchiopoda; Diplostraca; Daphniidae. The record is from RefSeq and is a predicted model, not a curated record.
UAAACGUUUAAAUGUAACAUGAAAACAAUGUCCGCUCUAGCUCGUUGACAUUCAAUUGAAAGAACUGGCAAACAAAGGUAACAAAUAACUUUGAUACUCACGUAAUAUUCUCCAUGCAAAUUUCAUAAGAAAGCCACCACGCAGCAUCACACAUCACAAAAGACGAAAUUCCCAAGGUGAUAUUGAACGCCACUUUAACUUCUACACUGAGGAGAAGGCACUCAAGACAGAUAUCCGUUCAUGUUGUCUGCAACUGAUUCUAGACGUUUCAGCACCUGGGCAACAGUGCUGGACUGGACAGUGGAUUGCUGAAAGGGAAAACCAUUUGGUAAGGUUUCGAUGGCCAUUGAUAAUUGAAGAGAAGCAUUGGAAUGCAACAGCUUGUCUGGCUUCGUCUGGACCUAAGUUACACCAAACAGAACACGGGAUCUAAACAAAUUUAGAUUCAGAUUUUUUAGCUUAAAUUUCAGCUGAAGUUUUCGUGUGACCUAGGUGCUUGUGACAAUAGAAAUCAAGGUUAACUUCCCCUGUCAAAUCAUGGUAAAUCUUCAAGAUAUUGAUGCCUUACCCAGAUCCAAUUCUUUGCUGCUAUCUCUUCUCUUUUGUAGAUAACAGCAAAAUAAUGCUGCCACUCAAGAGGCUGUGGUGCCUGCCACCACCACAGUUCUAAUUUAGGACAAUGUAACAUCAUUGAUAGAUUGGAGAUAUUGCUUGCUGUUGCUAUAUAUUGUUUGAAAUUUAAAUCUAAAUAUUCUCGCCUUUCAGGGCGAGAUUCUCACCACCGUUACAAUUGUUUGGAAACUGACAGCACUAACCAACGCUCACAGGUGGGCACUACCCUUGAAUAUCCCUUUUUAGUUGCUAAAACUAGCUAACUAACUAGCUAAAACGGGCCCUCUUGAUUUGAGGGGUAACUCCUUUGCUACUUUUAAUGGACUCCAUCCAAUUGGUAAACGCUGACAAGAGAAUGCUGUGAUUCAAGCCUGAUAAAUUGUGUAGUUGGAAAUAUCUGACCACC